GUACGUGCAACGCACGUCUCAAUCGACAUCAAAUAAUUGUUAAUAAAUAGUUGUCUAAUAUUUACAUAGUUUUUCAUCCGUACAUAUCUUUAUUACUGAUUUAUAAUGUUUUUCGGAUGGAAGCAAAACUAAAUUACGGAUAAAUAGAGAAUGUGCAAAUUAGUUCAAGAUCAAUAAAUUUAUGUAACUUAUGUUGCUAGUACGGACACCCUAGUAGUCACUUAUUUGCUACUAUUUUCUUAGCCAUAUCAUCCUGAUUCUACCCUUUGUCCCAUCAUAGAAAUUGACACAUCACCCAUGGCUGCAACAGUCUCAACGUGAUGAAGAGCCAAAUCAGUUUCCUCCUCCGUCUUACACAUGACCUUGCUUCCUGUCAUGUCACAAAAGAAGAAAACAGUCCCUUUCUCUGUAAGAUUGAACAGAGUCAAGCCAUAAAAGAAAAUGGACAAGCUGAUUUUUUCAUCAUGAAAUUUUGUGUUUUGAAAUAGUUACUAAAUAUGUAAUGUUUAGUCCAGCAGCCAAAUGGUUAUACCCCAGAGUUGUUUACAUCAUUGCUUCACUCAUGGUUCAGUGCCAUGAUGGCAUAAAAGAUAUCUUAGAAAAAGCCGGAUACAUAGUAAUGCCUAAUUAACAGAUGGUCAAAGCAAUUAUCAAAAAACAUGAAGAGCAGGUUAACCAUUGUUACAUCCCAAAUCUAUGAGAACAUCUGUAAAUAAUUAUCUGUAAUGGGGUGUUUAGAGUACACCUGCUUUGGUUGUACUGGGGUGUGGUCGAGAGUGGAUGUUCGCAUCCAUUUCGAGGCUUCUUGUACAUUGUAUUUUCUCUCUUCUAUAAAAGUAUGCCUUUGGCGUACUCUCAAAAAAAAAAGAAUAUCUGUAAAUUGUAGAAGAAAAUGGCGCAGCUAUGAAAAGAAAACAAAGCUUUAACCUUGGUGUAGUAAAAACUAAAAGGUAACUUAUCCCUACAGUCUAAUAACAGAACAACACAUGAGUAAACAACUUGCUGUUUUCUGUAAAGGGUGAAUUUCAUUGGCAGCAUGUCUGAACUAUCAUAAUAAAAUUAGUCAGGCCUCCUAAAUUUUGUUACUCAAGAAACUAUCUGCAGGUCCCUGAAAUUUUGCUAUGCAUUUUUGGAAGAGAAGAGCACCAUUUCAAAUUCACAAUACUGCGUGAUAGUUUGUUUCUCGAGCCUAAACAAAAGCAAAACUUCCUCUAGACACUUGCUUAAUGUAAGAGCGGAACAAACUUUCAUAAUUUCAAACUGAAGAUUUCAAAGUCAUACACAUGGCAGAUAAUUCAUACUUUAGGAGGAAAUUAGUUUGCCUCCAAAUCCAACAGCAAUCAACAAAAAUACACAUGGAAAAUGGCAUUUAAUAGUACACUGUAAACAGAACACUGAAUGGAUAAUGAUACUAAAAUGUGUUUACAAAGGUCAACAGAAUACAGAUCUUACCAACGAACAAAGAUGAAGUGAUGAACUGACCGGUUUCAGUGAAGUGGCUAAUGUCAUGACCUCGGUUUUCUGCUGAAGCAACUCAUUUUCUCUUUCAGAUAGCUGAACUGCUAAAAUACCCACCUAUGGAAAGUACCAAAAUAUUGAAGUGUUUACAAACAAAGAGAUCAUUUAGGCAUGUAUAUAUAUGUAGGUCGACUGGUGGAGACUUCUUUGAAUAAAAACUCAC
Molecule: long non-coding RNA, 1681 nt
Filed under: Triticum aestivum (bread wheat)
Lineage: Eukaryota; Viridiplantae; Streptophyta; Magnoliopsida; Poales; Poaceae
Description: long non-coding RNA (TAES_LNC027461)
Source: RNAcentral